UGGAGAGUUUGAUCCUGGCUCAGGACGAACGCUGGCGGCGUGCUUAACACAUGCAAGUCGAACGGAAAGGCCCCUUUCGGGGGGUGCUCGAGUGGCGAACGGGUGAGUAACACGUGGGUGAUCUGCCCUGCACUUCGGGAUAAGCUUGGGAAACUGGGUCUAAUACCGGAUAGGACUCCGAGAUGCAUGUCUUGGGGUGGAAAGCUUUUGCGGUGUGGGAUGGGCCCGCGGCCUAUCAGCUUGUUGGUGGGGUGAUGGCCUACCAAGGCGACGACGGGUAGCCGGCCUGAGAGGGUGUCCGGCCACACUGGGACUGAGAUACGGCCCAGACUCCUACGGGAGGCAGCAGUGGGGAAUAUUGCACAAUGGGCGCAAGCCUGAUGCAGCGACGCCGCGUGGGGGAUGACGGCCUUCGGGUUGUAAACCUCUUUCACCAUCGACGAAGCUUCGGGUUUUCUCGGGGAGACGGUAGGUGGAGAAGAAGCACCGGCCAACUACGUGCCAGCAGCCGCGGUA
Molecule: ribosomal RNA, 516 nt
Filed under: Mycobacterium celatum
Lineage: Bacteria; Bacillati; Actinomycetota; Actinomycetes; Mycobacteriales; Mycobacteriaceae
Description: bacterial SSU rRNA
Rfam family: Bacterial small subunit ribosomal RNA
Source: RNAcentral